This 459-nucleotide ribosomal RNA is filed under the name uncultured bacterium. Its description in RNAcentral is "partial 16S ribosomal RNA". It matches the Rfam family "Bacterial small subunit ribosomal RNA", at positions 338 to 795 of the family's 1533-position model. The record is from RNAcentral.
CCUACGGGAGGCAGCAGUGAGGAAUAUAGGUCAAUGGACGAGAGUCUGAACCAGCCAAGUAGCGUGAAGGAUGACUGCCCUAUGGGUUGUAAACUUCUUUUAUAUGGGAAUAAAAUGUUCCACGUGUGGGAUUUUGUAUGUACCAUAUGAAUAAGGAUCGGCUAACUCCGUGCCAGCAGCCGCGGUAAUACGGAGGAUCCGAGCGUUAUCCGGAUUUAUUGGGUUUAAAGGGAGCGUAGGCGGAAGGUUAAGUCAGCGGUCAAAUGUCGGUGCGCAACACCGGCCUGCCGUUGAAACUGGUCUUCUUGAGAUGUCGAGAGGUAUGCGGAAUGCGCAGUGUAGCGGUGAAAUGCUUAGAUAUUGCGCAGAACUCCGAUUGCGAAGGCAGCAUACCGGCGGCGAUCUGACGCUGAGGCACGAAAGCGUGGGUAUCGAACAGGAUUAGAUACCCGAGUAGUC